This is a non-coding RNA of Sphagnurus paluster, 83 nucleotides long. The record is from the annotation of a GenBank genome assembly. NCBI's taxonomy places the organism in Eukaryota, Fungi, Basidiomycota, Agaricomycetes, Agaricales, Lyophyllaceae.
AGCAGCAUGGCGCAGUUGGAAGCGCGCGGGGCCCAUAUUUGAUUGUCACCCCGAGGUCACUCGAUCGAAACGAGUUGCUGCUA